AGUGAUGUAAGAAAAACACGAGCCUUAUAAAUUGUAGAGUGAUAAAAUAAAAUUCCAUCUGAUACAUUCAAAGAUUGGAAAAUAUGGAUAAAAUUUUCAAGUUUGUUUAUGUCAUGAUAAUCCUUCUUUCCCUAGUUUUUGUUUCAACGCAUGUUAUAAAACUUACAUGUACGUAGUAAAUCAAUUUUAUCUCAUUUUCAAAUUUCCUUCUUUACUUCGUACAAAAUAUUUUAUCUCAUUUUAAUAACAUUGUUUUUUUCUCUUAUUACAUUACAGUUGUCCAUCCUUGUAAAACUGAUCGUGAUUGUCCACAAACUCCCAAGGGGCGCUUUUCACGUCCUAAAAAAGUGAAGUGUCGUAAUGGCAUUUGUAUGUAAAGCUAUAUGAUUGCCACACCCAAAAGAAUUAAAAAAAAAUCACACUACUAGAAUAUUCUACAAUUUCUUAUUUAGUUAUUGUCAUCAUCUAUAAAAUGAGUUUUCUUUUACCUUUUCUUAUUUCACAUACCUUGUUAGUUUUCUAUAAUGCAAGUGAAAUGACAUAGACCAUGAAAAAUA
RNAcentral lists this long non-coding RNA (557 nucleotides) under Trifolium pratense (red clover). RNAcentral describes it as "long non-coding RNA (TPRA_LNC009460)". Lineage: Eukaryota; Viridiplantae; Streptophyta; Magnoliopsida; Fabales; Fabaceae. The record is from RNAcentral.